CACCAGCGCCACAAGUGGCAACCGUAUUUAUUUGGCCUAAAGCGUCCGUAGCUGGUUAGGUAAAUUUUCUGUGAAAUUGUGUUGCUUAACAAUACAACGGGCAGGAAACACUGCUUAGCUAGGGACCGGGAGGGGUAUGGAGUAUUCUUGAGGGAGCGGUAAAAUGCUAUAAUCUCUUGCAGACUACCUGUGGCGAAGGCGCCAUACCAGAACGGAUCCGACAGUGAGGGACGAAAGCCAGGGGAGCAAUCCG
Molecule: ribosomal RNA, 253 nt
Filed under: uncultured archaeon
Lineage: Archaea
Description: partial 16S ribosomal RNA
Rfam family: Archaeal small subunit ribosomal RNA
Source: RNAcentral